GGCUCUGCAAAACAGGGGUAACAACUGGGCGUGAGAACUACUAUAAAAACAAGUAGUCCUCAGUGGGUGCCGCCCAAAACAACAUCAGUCCACCCACUAAGUCUACAGAAGGGAGCAAGAAUAGUAGUAAAUGCAGGAAUAAAGUCUACCGCUAUCAAACACUACAUUAUCAUGCUCUACACUAACCAACUGUAAAAAAAUGUCCAAUCUGACCCAAUCCAAUCGGGACUGUAAGCAUACCCGUCCCCGGGACUGUGAAUACACCCGUCCCUGCCCCGUUGCGACUAUCGGGCUCUAUCCACACUAACUGGUCCGUAGAGAGCAAGUCCAACUGGCAUGAGCGACACCAACGCGAAAGCACAAAGCCUGACUCCGGAGUGGCACUCGUGGGCGCUACCCAACCGAGUAUGCAGCGUAUCUCUGUCGAGCUCAAACAGGCUCUGAAAAGCCAAAGUCAAGUAACCGACUCAAACUGGUCUAACCACCAACAGGUAAUGUGCCCUCGGCACAAUCUGACGCCAAAAAGGCGAUACGGGUCCACCGUCAACUCUGACGGCACCCACCAGUCGGGAACAACCUGAACGAUCCUGUAAAAAUCCACUCGGCGCACCAGCACGAGCGUAAAUGUAAUCUAAACUACCUGGAGUACUCGUCUCGAAAAUACUGCGACAGUACAAUUUAAUAACGGCUCCUAGAGCUAAAUCAGGCAGUUUAAACGAGUGACAGGUCCAAAUCGCAGGUUUUCUCCUAAUUCAAUUUCCAAGUCCAACAUGUAUAACCUACUUAAUUUAUUACCACAUGCUCCAAAUUCAGAUUUGCAAUCUACGAUAUAAUCCAUGAAUUCGAGCUAGAAUAGAGUAUCCAAAGGUCGAAAAUUAUACAUGCCGACGAAUAUGAACUUAGGAGUAAAAACCGAUGUAACCCACCUCUCAAGCAACUCCUGGCAGCGAAGAAAACGUUAAAUCCGACCAAGCUAACCUUAUCCAAAUUCAGCAAACAAGGGUCCUGAAGCUUUGUCUUGAAGUCACGAAUCCAAUGGCCCAGGUUUCGCUGAAUUCUGACGCUCCUACGCAGAGAACGGGCCAGAAUACGAAACGUCGACGCUGGAACCUGCGAAACAGCAUCUCUGAAAUCUGCUCGGCAAACAACAGCCUAGUAAAACUAGGGUUUGACAGGGCAAACCUGCUCCAAAAAUCGCGAUCUUGGGCUCAGAAUCUUCGUCUCGAAGUCGCGAAUCUAACACGUCAAAUUUCGUCGCGUUUCGACACUCCUACACAGAGAACUAGGUAAAACACGGCGGGUCGAUGCUGGAAUCAGCAAUCAGCACUUCAGAGUCUGCUCGGCAAACAGCAACUCAGUAAAAAGAGAUUUCAACAGAGAAAACCUUCUCCAAAUUGGGCGAGUAAGGAUCCUAUGAAUUCGUCUCGAAGUCCCGGUUCCAACGAACCAAAUCUCGUCGAAAUCCGAUGCUCCUACGUCGCGUACGAGCUGAAAUACUAACAGUCGACGACAAGAUCCUGCGAAUCAGCACUUAAGCUCGAAUUGAAUGAAGCUUGAAGUAGAGAAGAAAUCCAUAGAGGAAUGAGAGAUUACCCACCUCAACCAGCGACUCCAAUUCCGGCACGGCGUCGAGAACGACGAAAACACUCCCUCGCCCGGCCUCCUCGCUAAACUACGGCGACGCACGUAUGCUCGGACGGCUCGGCGACGCGACGUCGGCGACGAACGCUCCACCCAAGCUCCUCCUCCUUGCGUAUGGCUCCAGAGACAGAUAGGGAGGAAAUUUAAUUAAAGAGGUGUUGGUUGCAACCCUCAAUUAAAAUGGAUAAGCAUGCAUGCAUGGGAGGGGGGUACGUGGCAGCAUCCAUAUAUAUAUAUAUAUAUAUAUAUAUAUAUAUAUGAGGAUACUACAUUCUGAGAGCCCAAUUCCCAUGUUCUUUACAACUCAAUAUCUUGCAAAGCACAGUAACAACUGGUUUAUUCUAAUUCUCAGUUAUUUUCAUCUUAGUUUUAUUAAGUCAGUUUCAUUCUGUGGAAUUAAACACAAAUAUUUAGAUCUGACCGUUAGCGGAAGCUUGUCGGGUCUUUGUCGCACACGAUCGAUCCGGAAUUAACGGAGGUUGGAUUACGGACCCGUCAUAAUCGGAGGUCUUGCUAUGAUCAGCUUUGCGGUAGACCUAACUACGAACGAGUUUACGUCUUGAUUCCAUUGUUCAAGAUUCCUUGGAACCCUUGAUGUGAAUGGAGAAUGCGGAUGUAAAUUUUCGUCCACAACCCCUUUGAUGGGAUUUAAUCUUAUACCAACUCUUUAUGUAUCAGGCUCUUAAUGCCAACCGUUGAUGUGAAUGGAAAAGCUGAUUUUCUUUGGAACUAAAAGGACAAAAAAUUUUAAAAAUUUUUUUAUGAAAAAACUAUUUUUUCGAAACUAUUUUUUCACGCUUUUUCGAAAAACCGAAUAACCCCUUAUAAAUAUUAUCUGAAGCUGUUAGGGAGAUAAGUGCCUCAUCUUUCAAUUUUUUAGCAGGACGAAUAUCUGAUCAAGUUUUAGGAUCAAAUCAGGUGAUGCGCACAUUUGAUCCGACCCAUCCAACCAAAUUCUAACUCGUCCAAUCCUGGCUUGACUUGGACUGAAUUUAUCAAAUCUAUUUAGCCUAAUUUCCGUACUACCACAUUAAAUUUGUACCACGUGCUGAGAGUGGAUAGCACAUGUAAAGGGAGCAUAUUGGCUUCCUUUUUGUUCGAAAAUUAUUAGGAACUAAUUAUAUCGGAGAUAGAUAAGUACGAAUAUGAGUUUUUGUAAGAAUAAAAAUAUUUUUUUAUUUAGAUAAAAAUAUGAGAAUAAGAUGGAAUUAGAAAAAUUAUGUUUGGAUGGUUAUUGGGAAUAAGAGGAUUAAUUGUUAGUUAUAAAUAAAAAAUAAUGAUAUUACCCAUAUAAUUGAAUUUAAAUUUUUAAAUUUUAAAUUUAUAAUUUUAAAAUAAAAAUUAAANCCUCUGUCUGUGGGUGAAAAGCAGUGCUGAAAUGUAACUGAGUCCCCAAAGUUGUCUGUAAACUCCUCCAGAAAUGCGACACAAACCUCGGGUUUCGGUCUGAUACAAUCGAUACUGACACGCCGUGCAGCCUGAUGAUCUCAUCAAGGUAUAGCUGCGCGAGUCUCUCUCUGGACCAGAUGGUCUGAACCCGUAAGAAGUGAGCAGACUUGGUCAGUUUGUCCACUAUCACCCAAAUCGCAUCAAAGCCACCCUGCGCUCUAGGCAAUACCACGACAAAGUCCAUCGUAAUCUACUCCCACUUCCACUCGGGCACUGGCAGACUCUGAAGCUUGCCAGCAGGUACCUGAUGCUCGUCCUUCACCUGUUAACAAGUCAAACACUGAGCCACAUAUCUGCCAAUGUCUCUCUUCAUUCCAUUCCACUAAAACUGUGCCUUUAAGUCCUUAUACAUCUUGGUUCCACCUGGGUGUACUGUAUAAGGUGAACAAUGAGCCUCUCUCAAGAUGUCAUCUCGGAUCCCUGAAUCCACCGGCAUACACAGUCGGUUCCUGUACCGCAGUACUCCCGAACUGUCCAAAGAAAACCCUCAGUCUGCCCCUCCGUCUGGCUGCUCUCUAAUCCUGAACAAGUACGGAUCUCCACUCUGUUUCUCUCGGAUCCUAUCCAACAGAGUGGGCUGUAAAACUAGAGACGUCAGCCUCGCCGUAGACCCAGGGGUACUAUCUCGAGUCCCAGCCGCUGUAGCUCCUCGAGUUGGGGUCUCUGCUUAGUGAUCCUCAAACUCAGGCUCUGCACUGCCUUCCUGCUCAACGCAUCUGCCACCACAUUCGCCCUGCCGGGAUGAUACUGAAUACUAAUGUCAUAGUCCUUCAGUAACUCCAACCACCGGCGCUGCCUCAGGUUCAGCUCCCUCUGUGUGAACAGAUACUUGAGACUUUUAUGAUCGGUGAAGACCUCGCAGUGCUCGCCGUACAAGUAAUGCCGCCAGAACUUCAAAGCAAAGACUACCGCUGCAAGCUCCAAAUCAUGCGCAGGGUAAUUCUUCUCAUAAUCCUUUAACUGCCAUGAAGCAUAAGCAAUCACCCUACCAUGCUGCAUCAGCACGCAACCAAGUCCACUGUGCGAUGCAUCACUGUAGAUCACGAAUCCCUAGACUGAUUUUUCGGACUCGUACGCGGCAUUAUGAGUUCACGGAUGCUUUUGGAUUGACGAAUGCCCUGCCGAUUCAUGGUUUUGGAUGAAUAGAGUGUUCAAGCCAUCUUGAUAGGUUUGUGGUAGUCUUCAUCAUGAUAUCCUAAUAUACAUCCCGGGAAUGAUCUGAGCAGAGGAGCACUUCGAGGAUUGUGCUAACAGCUUCUGCGAGCGAGAAAGAAGUUUGUAUACUAAGUUAAAAGAAGUGGCGAGUUCUGGCUACGGGAAGUUGCUUUCUAGCCACGUGAUUUUCAGCUGAGGGCGUUUAGCCAGUGCCAAGAAGAUUGAGGCGAUUCGAGAUUGGCCUAGACCAACGACGGUGACGGAGGUACGGAGCUUCCUGGGACUGGCAGGAUAUUACGUCAGUUUGUGGAAGGCUUUGCGAAGCUUUCCACACCACCCCUCACACGCUUGACGGCGGAAGGGGAUUCGUUUUGUCUUGAGCGACGACUGUCAGAGGAGCUUUGACGAGUUGAGGUUGAGGUUGACGUCGGCUCCUAUCCUUGCCCUUCCGGUGAUGGGGGAUGGAUUCGUGAUCUACAGUGAUGCAUCGCACAGUGGAACUUGUUGCGUUGCUGAUGGCAGCAUGGUAGGGUGAUUGCUUAUGCUUCAUGCAGUUAAAGGAUUAUGAGAAGAAUUACCCUGCUACUGAUUUGGAGCUUGCAGCGGUACUCUUUGCUUUGAAGUCUGGCGGCAUUACUUGUACGGCGAGCACUGCGAGGUCUUCACCGAUCAUAAAAAGUCUCAAGUAUCUGUUCACACAGAGGAGCUGAACCUGAGGAGCGCCGGUGGUUGAGUUACUGAACGACUAUGACAUUAGUAUUCAGUAUCAUCCCGGCAGGGCGAUAUGUGGUGGCAGAUGCGUUGAGCAGGAAGGCAGGUGCAGAGCCUGAGUUUGAGGAUCACUAAGCAGAGACCCAACCAACCGAGGAGCUACAGCGCUGGGACUCGAGAUAGUACCCCUGGGUCUACGGCGAGGCUGACGUCUCAGUUUUACAGCCCACUCUGUUGGAUAGGAUCGAUAGAAACAGAGUGGAGAUCGUACUUGUUCAGGAUUAGAGAGCAGCCAGACGGAGGGGCAGACUGAGGGUUUUCUUUGGACAGUUCGGGAGUACUGCGGUACAGGAACGACGUGUAUGGCCGGUGGAUUCAGGGAUUCCGAGAUGACAUCUUGAGAGAGGCUCAUUGUUCACCUUAUACAGUAACACCCAGGUGGAACCAAGAUGUAUAAGGAACUUAAAGGCACAGUUUUAGUGGAAUGGAAGAAGAGAGAGCAUUGGCAAUAUGAUGCUCAGUGUUUGACUUGUUAACGAGGUGAAGGACGAGCAUCAGGUACCUGCUGGCAAGCUUCAGAGUCUGCCAGUGCCCGAGUGGAAGUGGGAGUAGAUUACGAUGGACUUUUUGUCGGUAUUGGCCUAGAGCGCAGGGUGGCUUUGAUGCGAUUUGGGUGAUAGUGGACAAACUGACCAAGUCUGCUCACUCUUACGGGUUCAGACCAUCUGGUCCAGAGAGAGACUCGCGCAGCUAUACCUUGAUGAGAUCAUCAGGCUGCACGGCGUGUCAGUAUCGAUUGUAUCAGACCGAAACCCGAGGUUUGUGUCGCAUUUCUGGAGGAGUUACAGACAACUUUGGGGACUCAGUUACAUUUCAGCACUGCGCUUUUCACCCACAGACAGAGGGUCAGUCAAGAGCGGACCAUACAGACUCUAGAGGACAUGCUGGAGGGCAUGCGUCCUAGAUUUCUUGGAGGAGGAUGGUAUCGACAUGUGAGACUGGUUGAGUUUGCGUACAACAACAAGCUAUCAAACAAGCAUUCAGAUGGCUCCGUUUGAGGCAUUGUAUGGACGCAGAUGUCGAUCCCCCUGUUUUGGAGUGAUGUGGGUGAGCGGAGGACACUGGACCGGAGAUUUUACUUGAGGCUGAGGAAAAGGUGAGAGUCGUCCGCACACUUCUGACAGCACAGAGCCGACAGAGGAGCUACGCCCGAUAUCAGGAGACGAGACUUAGAGUUUUCAGGUUGAGAUCAUGUUUUCUCAAAGUCUCACCGUCCAGAGGGAUACGCCGUUUUGGGAGUACGUGGAAAGCUUAGUCCACGGUUUGUGGCCCUUUCGAUGUAUUAGAGCGUAUCGGACCGUGUGGCUUACAGGAUAGCUCUACUCCCCCGCACUUGCUGGCACCACGAUGUUUUCCACGUCUCAGCAUUGAGGAGAUACGUUUUCGACCCCUCAUCACGGAUUGACUUCACUCCACUAGAAGAUUGGAGAGGAUCUAAGAUACGAGGAGCGACCGGUGCGGAUUCUUGCUCGUGAGACGAAAAAUUGCGCAACCGGGUCAUCCCGUAUGUAAAGGUGCAGUGGAGUAAUCACGAGGAGAGGGAGGCGACUUGGGAGCCCAAGACGAUGAUGAGGGAGUCCUAUCCCGACCUAUUCGUUGCCCUGUCUUGAGGUAUAUUUUAAGUUUCGAAGGACGAAACUUUUUGUAGUGGGGGAGAAUUAGUAUCCUCAUAUAUAUAUAUAUAUAUAUAUAUAUAUAUUAUAUAUAUAUAUAUAAAUAUAUAUAUAUAUAUAUUAUAUAUAAUAUAAUUAUAUGGAUCUGCCACGUACCCCCCUCCCAUGCAUGCAUGCUUAUCAUUUUAAUUGAGGUUGCAACCAACACCUCUUUAUUAAAUUCCUCCCUAUCUGUCUCUGGAGCCAUACGCAAGGAGGAGGAGCUUGGGUGGACCGUUCGUCGCCGACGUCGCGCGCGGAGCCGUCGAGCAUACUGCGUCGCCGUAGUUUAGCAAGGAGGCCGGGAGGGAGUGUUUUCGUCGGUCUCGACGCCGUGCCGGAAUUGGAGUCGCUGGUUGAGGUGGGUAAUCUAUCUCUCAUUCCUCUAUGGAUUUCUUCUCUACUUCAAGCUUCAUUUCAAUUCGAGCUUAAGUGCUGAUUCGCAGGAUCUUGUCGUCGACUGUUAGUAUUUCAGCUCGUACGCGACGUAGGAGCAUCGGAUUUCGACGAGAUUUGUUCGUUGGAACGGGACUUCGAGACGAAUUCAUAGGAUCCUUACUCCCAAUUUGGAGAAGUUUUCUCUGUGAAAUCUCUUUUUACUGAGUUGCUGUUUGCCGAGCAGACUCUGAAGUGCUGAUUGCUGAUUCCAGCAUCGACCCCGUGUUUUACUAGUUCUCUGUGUAGGAGUGUCGAACGCGACGAAAUUUGACGUGUUAGAUUCGCGACUUCGAGACGAAGAUUCUGAGCCCAAAGAUGCGAUUUUUGGAGGCAGUUUGCCCUGUCAAACCCUAGUUUUACUAGGCAUGUUGUUGCCGAGCAGAUUUCAGAGAUGCUGUUUCGCAGGUUCCAGCGUCGACGUUUCGUAUUCUGGGCCGUUCUCUGGUAGGAGCUAGAAUUCAGCGAAACCUGGGCCAUUGAUGCGUGACUCAAGACAAAGCUCAGGACCCUUGUUUGCUGAAUUUGGAUAAGGUUAGCUUGGUCGAAUUUACGUUUUUCUUCGCUGCCAGGAGUUGCUUGAGAGGUGGGUUACAUCGGUUUUUACUCCUAAGUUCAUAUUCGUCGGCAUGUAUAAUUCUUCGACCUUUGGAUACUCUAUUCUAGCUUCGAAUUCAUGGAUUUAAUCGUAGAUUGCAAAUCUGAAUUUGGAGCAUGUGGUAAUAAUUAAGUAGGUUAUACAUGUUGGACUUGGAAAUUGAAUUAGGAGAAAACCUGCGAUUUGGACCUGUCACUCGUUUAAACUGCCUGAUUU
This 7917-nucleotide long non-coding RNA is filed under the name Ananas comosus (pineapple). RNAcentral describes it as "long non-coding RNA (ACOM_LNC001231)". The record is from RNAcentral. Lineage: Eukaryota; Viridiplantae; Streptophyta; Magnoliopsida; Poales; Bromeliaceae.